GACGAACGCUGGCGGCGUGCUUAACACAUGCAAGUCGAACGGAAAGGCCCUGCUUUUGUGGGUUGCUCGAGUGGCGAACGGGUGAGUAACACGUGAGUAACCUGCCCUUGACUUUGGGAUAACUUCAGGAAACUGGGGCUCAUACCGGAUAUGAUCUCCUGCUGCAUGGUGUGGGUUGGAAAGUUUCGGCGGUUGGGGAUGGACUCGCGGCUUAUCAGCUUGUUGGUGGGGUAGUGGCUUACCAAGGCUUUGACGGGUAGCCGGCCUGAGAGGGUGAACGGCCACAUUGGGACUGAGAUACGGCCCAGAAUGCUACGGGAGGCAGCAGGGGGGAAUAUUGCACAAUGGGCGGAAGCCUGAUGCAGCAACGCCGCGUGCGGGAUGACGGCCUUCGGGUUGAAAACCGAUUUCGCAUGUGACGAAGCGUGAGUGACGGUAAUGGGUAAAGAAGCACCGGCUAACUACGUG
RNAcentral lists this ribosomal RNA (468 nucleotides) under uncultured bacterium. Its description in RNAcentral is "partial 16S ribosomal RNA". It matches the Rfam family "Bacterial small subunit ribosomal RNA", at positions 28 to 507 of the family's 1533-position model. The record is from RNAcentral.